Molecule: ribosomal RNA, 496 nt
Filed under: uncultured bacterium
Lineage: Bacteria
Description: partial 16S ribosomal RNA
Rfam family: Bacterial small subunit ribosomal RNA
Source: RNAcentral
GACGAACGCUGGCGGCGUGCCUAAUACAUGCAAGUAGAACGCUGAAGAGAGGAGCUUGCUCUUCUUGGAUGAGUUGCGAACGGGUGAGUAACGCGUAGGUAACCUGCCUUGUAGCGGGGGAUAACUAUUGGAAACGAUAGCUAAUACCGCAAACAAUGGAUGACACAUGUCAUUUAUUUGAAAGGGGCAAUUGCUCCACUACAAGAUGGACCUGCGUUGUAUUAGCUAGUAGGUGAGGUAAUGGCUCACCUAGGCGACGAUACAUAGCCGACCUGAGAGGGUGAUCGGCCACACUGGGACUGAGACACGGCCCAGACUCCUACGGGGGGCAGCAGUAGGGAAUCUUCGGCAAUGGGGGCAACCCUGACCGAGCAACGCCGCGUGAGUGAAGAAGGUUUUCGGAUCGGAAAGCUCUGUUGUAAGUCAAGAACGGGUGUGAGAGUGGAAAGUUCACACUGUGACGGUAGCUUACCAGAAAGGGACGGCUAACUACGUG